GGACGACCGCUGGCGGCGUGCUUAACACAUGCAAGUCGAACGGAAAGGCCCUGCUUUUGUGGGGUGCUCGAGUGGCGAACGGGUGAGUAACACGUGAGUAACCUGCCCUUGACUUUGGGAUAACUUCAGGAAACUGGGGCUAAUACCGGAUAGGAGCUCCUGCUGCAUGGUGGGGGUUGGAAAGUUUCGGCGGUUGGGGAUGGACUCGCGGCUUAUCAGCUUGUUGGUGGGGUAGUGGCUUACCAAGGCUUCGACGGGUAGCCGGCCUGAGAGGGUGACCGGCCACAUUGGGACUGAGAUACGGCCCAGACUCCUACGGGAGGCAGCAGUGGGGAAUAUUGCACAAUGGGCGGAAGCCUGAUGCAGCAACGCCGCGUGCGGGAUGACGGCCUUCGGGUUGUAAACCGCUUUCGCCUGUGACGAAGCGUGAGUGACGGUAAUGGGUAAAGAAGCACCGGCUAACUACGUG
This 469-nucleotide ribosomal RNA is filed under the name uncultured bacterium. RNAcentral's name for it is "partial 16S ribosomal RNA". It matches the Rfam family "Bacterial small subunit ribosomal RNA", at positions 27 to 507 of the family's 1533-position model. The record is from RNAcentral.